RNAcentral lists this transfer RNA (77 nucleotides) under Galbibacter marinus. RNAcentral describes it as "tRNA-Arg". It matches the Rfam family "tRNA". From Rfam's summary of the family: Transfer RNA (tRNA) molecules are approximately 80 nucleotides in length. Their secondary structure includes four short double-helical elements and three loops (D, anti-codon, and T loops). Further hydrogen bonds mediate the characteristic L-shaped molecular structure. tRNAs have two regions of fundamental functional importance: the anti-codon, which is responsible for specific mRNA codon recognition, and the 3' end, to which the tRNAs corresponding amino acid is attached (by aminoacyl-tRNA synthetases). tRNAs cope with the degeneracy of the genetic code in two manners: having more than one tRNA (with a specific anti-codon) for a particular amino acid; and 'wobble' base-pairing, i.e. permitting non-standard base-pairing at the 3rd anti-codon position. Lineage: Bacteria; Pseudomonadati; Bacteroidota; Flavobacteriia; Flavobacteriales; Flavobacteriaceae. The record is from RNAcentral.
GGCCCCUUAGCUCAACUGAAUAGAGCACUGGAUUUCGGCUCCAGCGGUUCGGGGUUUGAAUCCCUGAGGGGUCACUA